GAGUGGCGAACGGGUGAGUAACACGUGGGUAACCUGCCCAUCAGAAGGGGAUAACACUUGGAAACAGGUGCUAAUACCGUAUAACACUAUUUUCCGCAUGGAAGAAAGUUGAAAGGCGCUUUUGCGUCACUGAUGGAUGGACCCGCGGUGCAUUAGCUAGUUGGUGAGGUAACGGCUCACCAAGGCCACGAUGCAUAGCCGACCUGAGAGGGUGAUCGGCCACACUGGGACUGAGACACGGCCCAGACUCCUACGGGAGGCAGCAGUAGGGAAUCUUCGGCAAUGGACGAAAGUCUGACCGAGCAACGCCGCGUGAGUGAAGAAGGUUUUCGGAUCGUAAAACUCUGUUGUUAGAGAAGAACAAGGAUGAGAGUAAAAUGUUCAUCCCUUGACGGUAUCUAACCAGAAAGCCACGGCUAACUACGUGCCAGCAGCCGCGGUAAUACGUAGGUGGCAAGCGUUGUCCGGAUUUAUUGGGCGUAAAGCGAGCGCAGGCGGUUUCUUAAGUCUGAUGUGAAAGCCCCCGGCUCAACCGGGGAGGGUCAUUGGGAACUGGGAGACUUGAGUGCAGAAGAGGAGAGUGGAAUUCCAUAUGUAGCGGUGAAAUGCGUAGAUAUAUGGAGGAACACCAGUGGCGAAGGCGGCUCUCUGGUCUGUAACUGACGCUGAGGCUCGAAAGCGUGGGGAGCGAACAGGAUUAGAUACCCUGGUAGUCCACGCCGUAAACGAUGAGUGCUAAGUGUUGGAGGGUUUCCGCCCUUCAGU
RNAcentral lists this ribosomal RNA (765 nucleotides) under uncultured bacterium. RNAcentral's name for it is "bacterial SSU rRNA". It matches the Rfam family "Bacterial small subunit ribosomal RNA", at positions 93 to 844 of the family's 1533-position model. The record is from RNAcentral.